RNAcentral lists this ribosomal RNA (498 nucleotides) under uncultured bacterium. Its description in RNAcentral is "partial 16S ribosomal RNA". It matches the Rfam family "Bacterial small subunit ribosomal RNA", at positions 28 to 523 of the family's 1533-position model. The record is from RNAcentral.
GAUGAACGCUAGCGGCAGGCCUAAUACAUGCAAGUCGGACGGGAUUUGGGAGCUUGCUCCUAAUGAGAGUGGCGCACGGGUGCGUAACACGUAUGUAACCUACCUUAAUCAGGGGGAUAGCCUCUCGAAAGAGAGAUUAACACCGCAUAAUAUAUUUUUAUGGCAUCGUAGAAAUAUCAAAUAUUUAUAGGAUUAAGAUGGGCAUGCGGAACAUUAGCUAGUUGGUAAGGUAACGGCCUACCAAGGCUACGAUGUUUAGGGGAUCUGAGAGGAUGACCCCCCACACUGGUACUGAGACACGGACCAGACUCCUACGGGAGGCAGCAGUAAGGAAUAUUGGUCAAUGGGCGCAAGCCUGAACCAGCCAUGCCGCGUGCAGGAAGACGGCCCUAUGGGUUGUAAACUGCUUUUGUACCGGAAUAAACCCUUUUACGUGUAAGAGGCUGAAUGUACGGUAAGAAUAAGGAUCGGCUAACUCCGUGCCAGCCGCCGCGGUAA